GGCCGCAAGGUUAAAACUCAAAUGAAUUGACGGGGGCCCGCACAAGCGGUGGAGCAUGUGGUUUAAUUCGAUGCAACGCGAAGAACCUUACCUACUCUUGACAUCCAGAGAAUUUAGCAGAGAUGCUGAAGUGCCUUCGGGAACUCUGAGACAGGUGCUGCAUGGCUGUCGUCAGCUCGUGUUGUGAAAUGUUGGGUUAAGUCGCGCAACGAGCGCAACCCUUAUCCUUUGUUGCCAGCGAUU
This 243-nucleotide ribosomal RNA is filed under the name Providencia stuartii. RNAcentral's name for it is "partial 16S ribosomal RNA". It matches the Rfam family "Bacterial small subunit ribosomal RNA", at positions 884 to 1126 of the family's 1533-position model. Lineage: Bacteria; Pseudomonadati; Pseudomonadota; Gammaproteobacteria; Enterobacterales; Morganellaceae. The record is from RNAcentral.